This 410-nucleotide long non-coding RNA is filed under the name Sus scrofa (pig). RNAcentral's name for it is "lncRNA (ENSSSCG00005014071.1)". The record is from RNAcentral. Lineage: Eukaryota; Metazoa; Chordata; Mammalia; Artiodactyla; Suidae.
GGGAGCCACACCAGCUGUACUGUCCCCAGUGGAAAGAGCCAGGACCCAGGACAGGCAGUGACAGCUUCCCAGAGCACAAAUACUGUUGACUUGGGAGGUACCAUUGGCAAAGUGGCCUGUGAAGAUCACCUUGUCGUAGCCUUGGUUCCUUGCCCUCCAGAGAGCCGACUCCCCUUCUCUGGGCUGGAUGAGCAGGAGAGACAGAGACACCUGGCCCUCCCGGAACAGAGUGAAGCUGACAAGGUAGGUGCCAUUGUUGAGGUCGCUCACCUUUCCCGAGGCGCCUGCCUGCAGGGCUGGGGAGGACAUCCUGGCCCUCAGGAAAUCCCCGCCAUAUGGCUUCUGUGUCCCAAGUGGUCCCCCACCUCCAGCAGGACAUCCGGCUGAUCCCCCCCGCAUUAUGUGGCCCU